Glossina fuscipes is the source of this 1014-nucleotide RNA transcript. It is a transcript of the gene named transmembrane protein 131 homolog, with no coding region annotated. The record is from RefSeq and is a predicted model, not a curated record. Lineage: Eukaryota; Metazoa; Arthropoda; Insecta; Diptera; Glossinidae. The transcript has 3 exons.
GGCUCACUAAAUCCCUCCUCUUUCAACUGCAAAUGGAACAUUUGUCCUGGAUACAAAAACCAAGUAAAGUUGGUGAGGUUAUCGCACACAAGCUUCUGGCAAAACGCGUCUUUACGGCUUGUAAUUCUGGAGAAUUACCUAUUUGGAUAAAAGGAAUAUUUAUAGAUGAUCAGCCAUGUACCGGUUAUGGUUUUAGUGUAGCUGAUUGUUCGUCGUUUGAGUUAAAAACGAACGGUACACCUAGGAUUGAAAUUGCUUUCCAGCCGGAUUUCACUGUUACACGUAUUCCGAAACCGUUUAUUUUGAAAACCAAUUCGUUUGGAUUUGAUUACGGCCUUCUGGCACAAUUGCGGAACAAAGGCUUGGACUAACGUUGUAUUGCCUUGUUGCCUUGUCCUUUUUGGGAAUCACGUGUACGUAAUGCAGCAAUCGUAGUUUUAUCCAUAAUGUUUGCCUUAUCCUUGGUGCUUGUCGCCGGCAACUUUAACAGACGAAUUUCUUUGGCCCGGGAUAAAGCAGCAACCUUUUAAUUUGCGCAAUAUACAAUGCGUUCCCAUCCGUCUACUGAAACGUCUGGAAUAGAGGCUUUUACUGGUAAAACUAAAGAGAAGUCUAAUAGUGACGGUAAUGGAAACAACGGUUUAAAGAAACGGAACGCUAUGCGAAGAUACAUGUUCCCAGUUUAAUCUCAUAUUUUGGAAUGUUGUUACAAAGAAUAAAAUUCUAUCUCGUGUAACGAAACUGAAGUAUACAUAACAAAAAGAUGAUUCAUUGGGCUGUGCAGAACAGGUUCAAGCACAAAGUUCUUUACACGAGCUUUAAGAAAGCUAAUGAUUGACUUUGCGUCCUCUCGCGUCUGCGUAACCAAAAUCAUUUUAGUCAAUUUCUUUAGCAACUUAGAAAAAUUUUAGUCAAUUUAAAUCACUUUUUCAUGAUUUUCAACCAAUUUUAGUCAAUUUCUUUAGCAACUUCGACAAAUUUUAGUCAUAUAAAAUGUCAUUAAACAGUCUUAAA